GUGUGAUGAGUGGUUUUAUUUAUUUGGUCGUAAUUAGUUCUCUAUUAAGUAAUAUUGAAUACAGAAAUUUAGUGUUAGUUGCUUGAGAUGCUUGUGAAGUCCCAUCGUAAUUUGGUUAGUGCUGCGGACGCGGUACCAAUCCGAGGAUUGGUGAGGUGGACUGUGUCGAAAGUUGAUAUUGCUACAAGUUGAUACUGGGGCAGAGGAGGGCGAGGUUAUCGCGCACCACAGACACCACGGCCGAUUUGUGAAUUGGUCAGCAGGACAUAUUAGAAGGAGAACCAUAUCUCCGAAAUCCAGAGCCAAGUGUCAUCAACUUGCCGUAGACUUCCAACAUGCGAGUUAUCAACCCAACACAUGAGGUCAUUGACCUGUCAGAUGAGAUGUCAGAUCAGAAAGCAGAGUCAAAAUCAAUCCCAAUCGAGCCGGAGGCAGACGAGACGCCGUGGUGGAUGUGCUACCGUCGCGG
Molecule: long non-coding RNA, 469 nt
Organism: Cydia splendana
Lineage: Eukaryota; Metazoa; Arthropoda; Insecta; Lepidoptera; Tortricidae
Exons: 3
Source: RefSeq, a predicted model, not a curated record